RNAcentral lists this ribosomal RNA (1741 nucleotides) under Escherichia coli. Its description in RNAcentral is "bacterial LSU rRNA". It matches the Rfam family "Bacterial large subunit ribosomal RNA", at positions 1203 to 2925 of the family's 2925-position model. The record is from RNAcentral. Lineage: Bacteria; Pseudomonadati; Pseudomonadota; Gammaproteobacteria; Enterobacterales; Enterobacteriaceae.
CGGCAGCGACACUUUGUGUUGUUGGGUAGGGGAGCGUUCUGUAAGCCUGUGAAGGUGUGCUGUGAGGCAUGCUGGAGGUAUCAGAAGUGCGAAUGCUGACAUAAGUAACGAUAAAGCGGGUGAAAAGCCCGCUCGCCGGAAGACCAAGGGUUCCUGUCCAACGUUAAUCGGGGCAGGGUGAGUCGACCCCUAAGGCGAGGCCGAAAGGCGUAGUCGAUGGGAAACAGGUUAAUAUUCCUGUACUUGGUGUUACUGCGAAGGGGGGACGGAGAAGGCUAUGUUGGCCGGGCGACGGUUGUCCCGGUUUAAGCGUGUAGGCUGGUUUUCCAGGCAAAUCCGGAAAAUCAAGGCUGAGGCGUGAUGACGAGGCACUACGGUGCUGAAGCAACAAAUGCCCUGCUUCCAGGAAAAGCCUCUAAGCAUCAGGUAACAUCAAAUCGUACCCCAAACCGACACAGGUGGUCAGGUAGAGAAUACCAAGGCGCUUGAGAGAACUCGGGUGAAGGAACUAGGCAAAAUGGUGCCGUAACUUCGGGAGAAGGCACGCUGAUAUGUAGGUGAAGUCCCUCGCGGAUGGAGCUGAAAUCAGUCGAAGAUACCAGCUGGCUGCAACUGUUUAUUAAAAACACAGCACUGUGCAAACACGAAAGUGGACGUAUACGGUGUGACGCCUGCCCGGUGCCGGAAGGUUAAUUGAUGGGGUCAGCGCAAGCGAAGCUCUUGAUCGAAGCCCCGGUAAACGGCGGCCGUAACUAUAACGGUCCUAAGGUAGCGAAAUUCCUUGUCGGGUAAGUUCCGACCUGCACGAAUGGCGUAAUGAUGGCCAGGCUGUCUCCACCCGAGACUCAGUGAAAUUGAACUCGCUGUGAAGAUGCAGUGUACCCGCGGCAAGACGGAAAGACCCCGUGAACCUUUACUAUAGCUUGACACUGAACAUUGAGCCUUGAUGUGUAGGAUAGGUGGGAGGCUUAGAAGUGUGGACGCCAGUCUGCAUGGAGCCGACCUUGAAAUACCACCCUUUAAUGUUUGAUGUUCUAACGUUGACCCGUAAUCCGGGUUGCGGACAGUGUCUGGUGGGUAGUUUGACUGGGGCGGUCUCCUCCUAAAGAGUAACGGAGGAGCACGAAGGUUGGCUAAUCCUGGUCGGACAUCAGGAGGUUAGUGCAAUGGCAUAAGCCAGCUUGACUGCGAGCGUGACGGCGCGAGCAGGUGCGAAAGCAGGUCAUAGUGAUCCGGUGGUUCUGAAUGGAAGGGCCAUCGCUCAACGGAUAAAAGGUACUCCGGGGAUAACAGGCUGAUACCGCCCAAGAGUUCAUAUCGACGGCGGUGUUUGGCACCUCGAUGUCGGCUCAUCACAUCCUGGGGCUGAAGUAGGUCCCAAGGGUAUGGCUGUUCGCCAUUUAAAGUGGUACGCGAGCUGGGUUUAGAACGUCGUGAGACAGUUCGGUCCCUAUCUGCCGUGGGCGCUGGAGAACUGAGGGGGGCUGCUCCUAGUACGAGAGGACCGGAGUGGACGCAUCACUGGUGUUCGGGUUGUCAUGCCAAUGGCACUGCCCGGUAGCUAAAUGCGGAAGAGAUAAGUGCUGAAAGCAUCUAAGCACGAAACUUGCCCCGAGAUGAGUUCUCCCUGACCCUUUAAGGGUCCUGAAGGAACGUUGAAGACGACGACGUUGAUAGGCCGGGUGUGUAAGCGCAGCGAUGCGUUGAGCUAACCGGUACUAAUGAACCGUGAGGCUUAACC